Molecule: ribosomal RNA, 376 nt
Filed under: uncultured Desulfobulbus sp.
Lineage: Bacteria; Pseudomonadati; Thermodesulfobacteriota; Desulfobulbia; Desulfobulbales; Desulfobulbaceae
Description: bacterial SSU rRNA
Rfam family: Bacterial small subunit ribosomal RNA
Source: RNAcentral
UGGCUUCCAUCUGGAAGAAGUCUGGAGACAGGUGCUGCAUGGCUGUCGUCAGCUCGUGUCGUGAGAUGUUGGGUUAAGUCCCGCAACGAGCGCAACCCUUGCCUUUAGUUGCCAGCAGUUCGGGCUGGGCACUCUAAAGGGACUGCCGGUGUUAAACCGGAGGAAGGUGGGGAUGACGUCAAGUCCUCAUGGCCUUUAUGACCAGGGCUACACACGUACUACAAUGGCCGAUACAAAGGGCAGCGACACUGCGAGGUGAAGCCAAUCCCGUAAAAUCGGUCUCAGUCCGGAUUGGAGUCUGCAACUCGACUCCAUGAAGUUGGAAUCGCUAGUAAUCGUGGAUCAGCAUGCCACGGUGAAUACGUUCCCGGGCCUU